CAGACGUAACUGAAGAGCCACCGCCAGAGACCACUACCAUUAAUCCAUUUGAGUCUCGCUCAGUACCGAAAAAGCCUGAGUAUGAAGCUGAAACGGAACCGCCACCUCCAGAAAGCUUGUGCGUUCCCUUCCGAUACGGAGACGAAAUCGUGAACGGAUGCGUGGGCGAGCAAGGGAAGGAGGAGAUAAUUAAGACGGAGGGAGAAGGAGGAGAGAUAACCUGGUGGACAGUGAAAGGCAGAUGGUGCGCCUCAGAAGUAGACGAGAAUCUGAAUCCCGUAACCAUUAUACUGUGCGACGUGUGCGUUCCCUUCAGCCACAAAGGGAUGCUCAUGAGGGGCUGCGUGGGCGGCG
Penaeus vannamei (Pacific white shrimp) is the source of this 354-nucleotide non-coding RNA. The record is from RefSeq and is a predicted model, not a curated record. NCBI's taxonomy places the organism in Eukaryota, Metazoa, Arthropoda, Malacostraca, Decapoda, Penaeidae.